AUGUUUUCAGGUGUAGAAGGAGCU
RNAcentral lists this non-coding RNA (24 nucleotides) under Arabidopsis thaliana (thale cress). Lineage: Eukaryota; Viridiplantae; Streptophyta; Magnoliopsida; Brassicales; Brassicaceae. The record is from RNAcentral.